Molecule: microRNA, 19 nt
Filed under: Chlamydomonas reinhardtii
Lineage: Eukaryota; Viridiplantae; Chlorophyta; Chlorophyceae; Chlamydomonadales; Chlamydomonadaceae
Description: cre-miR1143-5p
Source: miRBase by way of RNAcentral
AGGACGUCCCCUUACGGGA